GACGAACGCUGGCGGCGUGCUUAACACAUGCAAGUCGAACGGACAGGCCCUGCUUUUGUGGGGAGCUCGAGUGGCGAACGGGUGAGUAACACGUGAGUAACCUGCCACUGCCUUUGGGAUAACUUAAGGAAACAGGGGCUAAUACCGGAUAGGAGCACCUGCUGCAUGGUGGGGGUUGGAAAGUUUGGGCGGUUGGGGAGGGAAUCGCGGCUUAUCAGCGUGUUGGUGGGGUGGUGGCUUACCAAGGCUUUGACGGGUAGCCGGGCUGAGAGGGGGACAGGCCACAUUGGGGCUGUGAGACAGCCCAGAGUCCUACGGGGGGCAGCAGAGGGGAGUAUUGCACAAAGGGCGGAAGCGUGAUGCAGCAACGCCGCGUGUGGGAGGACGGCCUUCGGGUUGUAAACCGCUUUCGCCUGUGACGAAGCGUGAGUGACGGUAAUGAGGAAAGAAGCACCGGCUAACUACGUG
This 468-nucleotide ribosomal RNA is filed under the name uncultured bacterium. RNAcentral describes it as "partial 16S ribosomal RNA". It matches the Rfam family "Bacterial small subunit ribosomal RNA", at positions 28 to 507 of the family's 1533-position model. The record is from RNAcentral.